Molecule: ribosomal RNA, 457 nt
Filed under: uncultured bacterium
Lineage: Bacteria
Description: bacterial SSU rRNA
Rfam family: Bacterial small subunit ribosomal RNA
Source: RNAcentral
UACGGGAGGCAGCAGUGGGGAAUAUUGCACAAUGGGCGCAAGCCUGAUGCAGCCAUGCCGCGUGUAUGAAGAAGGCCUUCGGGUUGUAAAGUACUUUCAGUCGUGAGGAAGGUGUUAAGGUUAAUAACCUUAGCAAUUGACGUUAGCGACAGAAGAAGCACCGGCUAACUCCGUGCCAGCAGCCGCGGUAAUACGGAGGGUGCGAGCGUUAAUCGGAAUUACUGGGCGUAAAGGGCACGCAGGCGGUUAAUUAAGUUGGAUGUGAAAUCCCCGGGCUUAACCUGGGAAUGGCAUUCAAGACUGGUUAGCUAGAGUCUUGUAGAGGGGGUAGAAUUCCAUGUGUAGCGGUGAAAUGCGUAGAGAUGUGGAGGAAAUACCGGUGGCGAAAGGCGGCCCCUGGACAAAAGACUGACGCUCAUGUGCGAAAAGCGUGGGGAGCAAACAGGGAUUAGAUACC